UGUACCCUACGGGAGGCAGCAGUGAGGAAUAUUGGUCAAUGGGCUUACGCCUGAACCAGCCACGUCGCGUGAGGGAAGACUGCCCUAUGGGUUGUAAACCUCUUUAGGCGGGGAGCAAUGCCGGGCACGCGUGCCCGGAGGGAGAGUACCCGCAGAAUAAGCAUCGGCUAACUCCGUGCCAGCAGCCGCGGUAAUACGGAGGAUGCGAGCGUUAUCCGGAUUUAUUGGGUUUAAAGGGUGCGUAGGCGGAUUUUUAAGUCAGCGGUAAAAUGUCCGGGCUCAACCCGGGCCGGCCGUUGAAACUG
This 305-nucleotide ribosomal RNA is filed under the name uncultured bacterium. RNAcentral's name for it is "bacterial SSU rRNA". It matches the Rfam family "Bacterial small subunit ribosomal RNA", at positions 332 to 635 of the family's 1533-position model. The record is from RNAcentral.